Molecule: long non-coding RNA, 498 nt
Organism: Mauremys reevesii (Reeves's turtle)
Lineage: Eukaryota; Metazoa; Chordata; Testudines; Geoemydidae
Exons: 3
Source: RefSeq, a predicted model, not a curated record
CAAAGACUGAACUGGGGAGGUGGUACCAGGCUGAAGGGAAUUCCCAGCCUGAGUAUGGAAGAUUUGUGACCUGCUUGUAUUGUCUGUCAGGAAUCUGAGGAAACAGAUGCGUCAGAAAUCCAGCUCAGGAGUUCAGCACAGUGCCCUGCACUGAGUCAUCAUUAUGCAGCCUGAUUAACCUCUGCUCCUCAGGAACAGAGAUUAAGAAGUCCAUUCUGUCCAUUUUAAUAAAUUGCUGCAUGAGGGAGUGAGGAUUGGCAUUAACAAUGGAUGACACAUGAAAUCCAACUAACAACCCAAACCUUUGCCUGAAAUGCAAACUGAACUGGAACCUCUUAUGUGCAUUACAAACCAAUGCACUACUCGUGUCUGCUUUUCUGGUCCGUGCCAGACAUAUACACAAGAUCUUUUAGAGAAAAGCCACCCUCCACCCAAACAAGACAGCAAUGGAGACCUCCCAAGAAAGACUGCUCUCCCAAAAUCUCUAGUCUGACUUCU